Peromyscus eremicus (cactus mouse) is the source of this 498-nucleotide long non-coding RNA. RefSeq lists it as uncharacterized. Lineage: Eukaryota; Metazoa; Chordata; Mammalia; Rodentia; Cricetidae. The record is from RefSeq and is a predicted model, not a curated record. The transcript is spliced from 2 exons.
UUCAUACUACACUGAAGUGCCCCAAUUUAAGCUGUAACAUCAACAAGAUUUUACUAAAAGGCACUGGGAACUUUAACAGUUAGAAUGCAGUGACCUAUGAUGAUGUGCAUGUUGACAUCACUUGGGAAGAGUGGACUUUGCUGGAUCCUUCCCAGAAGAAUCUCUACAAAGAUGUGAUGCUGGAGACCUACAGGAACCUCACUACUAUAGAUUGGAUCAACUUUUGGCUCGAGUAAGUUACCCAUUUCCAAGCCACCACCUGUAGAGAGGUCCAGGACCUUUACUGAGUCAAGACCCCUUCUAAGUCAAAGAGUUUUGGAGUUCCUGCUAAGCUGUGGCCACACUGGGAAACUCUGAUCUAUUUCUGGAGCAAAGACCAUCUUUGUUCAUUUUGUGGAGGUCCAAUUCUACAAAAAGACAGAUCUCACAUUCACCCCCUCAACCCAGGAACUCAAGCAAUUAUGUGGCAUAUACAGCAAUAAAGUUAGAUUAGCUGGA